UGGGGAAUAUUGCACAAUGGGCGCAAGCCUGAUGCAGCCAUGCCGCGUGUAUGAAGAAGGCCUUCGGGUUGUAAAGUACUUUCAGCGGGGAGGAAGGCGAUAAGGUUAAUAACCUUGUCGAUUGACGUUACCCGCAGAAGAAGCACCGGCUAACUCCGUGCCAGCAGCCGCGGUAAUACGGAGGGUGCAAGCGUUAAUCGGAAUUACUGGGCGUAAAGCGCACGCAGGCGGUCUGUCAAGUCGGAUGUGAAAUCCCCGGGCUCAACCUGGGAACUGCAUUCGAAACUGGCAGGCUAGAGUCUUGUAGAGGGGGGUACAAUUCCAGGUGUAGCGGUGAAAUGCGUAGAGAUCUGGAGGAAUACCGGUGGCGAAGGCGGCCCCCUGGACAAAGACUGACGCUCAGGUGCGAAAGCGUGGGGAGCAAACA
Molecule: ribosomal RNA, 427 nt
Filed under: uncultured bacterium
Lineage: Bacteria
Description: partial 16S ribosomal RNA
Rfam family: Bacterial small subunit ribosomal RNA
Source: RNAcentral